GAGCGGCCGCGCGGAAGGAGCUGGAGACGGGCGUAGCUGCGGUCGCGCCGAGGAAGAAGGAUGUGAGCACACGUAUGCUGAACAUAUGGCUGCUUGAACUUUGGCCUGUCGCUGUG
This 116-nucleotide small RNA is filed under the name Pongo abelii (Sumatran orangutan). Its description in RNAcentral is "processed transcript". The record is from RNAcentral. Lineage: Eukaryota; Metazoa; Chordata; Mammalia; Primates; Hominidae.